RNAcentral lists this ribosomal RNA (253 nucleotides) under uncultured bacterium. RNAcentral's name for it is "partial 16S ribosomal RNA". It matches the Rfam family "Bacterial small subunit ribosomal RNA", at positions 524 to 776 of the family's 1533-position model. The record is from RNAcentral.
UACGUAGGGUGCGAGCGUUGUCCGGAAUUAUUGGGCGUAAAGGGCUCGUAGGCGGUCUGUUGCGUCAGGAGUGAAAACUCGGGGCUUAACCCCGAGCCUGCUUCUGAUACGGGCAGACUAGAGGUAUGCAGGGGAGAACGGAAUUCCUGGUGUAGCGGUGGAAUGCGCAGAUAUCAGGAGGAACACCGAUAGCGAAGGCAGCUCGCUGGGACGGUACUGACGCUGAGGUGCGAAAGCGUGGGGAGCGAACAGG